UGCCUUUAAUUCCAUUUAGUCUACAAUUUAAUAAUUGAUAUGCUGAAUUCACACCUCCAUCUCAACCAAAAAUGUAAGUUAAUGAAUAGGAGUAAAUCAAAUGAAACUUUAUUUAAAGUUUGACUUGAUUUAGUCCUAUUCUUUUAGUUAGAUUUUUGGUUAAGGUGGCGACUUUAGUACAACAUAUAAAUGUUUUAUUUGUAGACAAACUGGAAUUAAAGCCAGACUAAGUCAGUGGUACAGAUGGAACUAUCCAAGCAGAAGAUACAUCUCCUUCAAAUGUUUGGUUGUGUUGACAACCAAACACAAUUCAAUAUCACUUUUGAAAUACAAUAAAUAUCCUGAUAACUUGUCGACAAGUUAACAAAUUAUAUAUUGGAUUCACGUCUUCAACUCAACCAACCAAAAAUCUAAGUUAAUGAAUGGGAUUAAGUCAGGGGCUCAGAUGGAACUAUGCAAGCAGUACAUACAGCUCCUUUAAAUUGUGAUAUGUGUCUCUCUUAUUAGAUGAAUCACAGUGAUAACAGAUUAAUCAGUUGUAUAAAUGAAAUAUCUGACAUUUUAUUCCCAUUUGAACUUUGCUGUGCUUUUUAAUGGUUGAAAGCGCAUUGAUAGACAUUUGGGUAACGACUAUACCAAAAAUCCUACGUUGUUUUUCCAUUGGAAUUUGGUUGUGCUUUUAGAUGCUUAAAAGCAUAGUGAUAACACAUUGUCAAUUCAACUAACUUUGUGCUGUGUUUUUGAGUAUGUGACUAUAGGUUGUAAACUCAUUGAUCAACAUCUCAACCAAAUAUUAUCCAAUUUUCCACGUAGAAAUGAUGUGGUGUGCCCAGUGGUAAUAAUCCCUGUUCCUGUCCCUAUCUCUGGCUCUGUCCCUGUGGUGUUCUCUGCUGUGCUGUGUGACAGUCACCACCCGGGAUCAGCCACAGCCUCUGGGUCUCUCUCUGUGGCCUCUCUGAGUGUACAGGAAGCUAUUAACAACGAGGGGAUAUCCUGAACAAUGGCAGCCUGGCGGGCCCUACCGGAGGAGUGUGGGAAGAGAGGGAGGAGGGGGAGAGAUGAGGACAGAGAGAGAGAGGGGAAACAGAGGGUAGUGUGGGAGAGAGGAGUGUGGGAAGAGAGGGAGGAGGGGGAGAGAUGAGGACAGAGAGAGAGAGGGGAAACAGAGGGUAGUGUGGGAGAGAGGAGUGUGGGAAGAGAGGGAGGAGGGGGAGAGAGGGAGGAGAGAGGAGGACAUGGAGAGCGAGGAGAAACAGAGGGUAGUGUGGGAGAGAGGAGUGUGGGAAGAGAGGGAGGAGGGGGAGAGAUGAGGACAGAGAGAGAGAGGGGAAACAGAGGGUAGUGUGGGAGAGAGGAGUGUGGGAAGAGAGGGAGGAGGGGGAGAGAGGAGGACAGAGAGAGAGAGGGGAAACAGAGGGUAGUGUGGGAGAGAGGAGUGUGGGAAGAGAGGGAGGAGGGAGAGAGAGGAGGACAUGGAGAGCGAGGAGAAACAGAGGGUAGUGUGGGAGAGAGGAGUGUGGGAAGAGAGGGAGGAGGGGGAGAGAUGAGGACAGAGAGAGAGAGGGGAAACAGAGGGUAGUGUGGGAGAGAGGAGUGUGGGAAGAGAGGGAGGAGGGGGAGAGAGGAGGACAUGGAGAGCGAGGAGAAACAGAGGGUAGUGUGGGAGGCAGAGAAGGCAGUGUGGGAGGCAGAGAAGGCAGUGUGGGAGAGAGAGGAGUCUGGGAAGAGAGAGCAGAGGGAGAGAUCGAGAUGGAGAGACGAGAGAGGGGAGAGGUAGGAGAGAGAGAGCGCACAGUGCUGCUUUGUCCCAGAGCCAUGAUUACAGCCCACUCUCCUCCCGGUGUGCUUGACUCCCACGCUCCCCUAAGUUACUUGUGCUGGGCUGCCCGUCAGAGGAAUGAUAAAACAACCUCUUCCUCCUUUCAUGGACGCUCAGCCAAAUUAUUCUCUAUCUCUCCCACACCCUUUCCCUCCCUCUUUCUCUCUUUCUGUCUCCAUCCAUCCUCAUUAUAGUUUUUCCUGUAUUUCGUUUGCCAGACUUGAAAAGUGAUUCUCACCAGUAACUAUGGGGGAAGAGUCUACACUACAGUCUAGUGUUUUCUUAUGUAAUCCCUCAAACCAAUGAUGGACUUCAAUCAAUCAAUCAAAUGUAUUUAUAAAGCCCUUUUUACAUCAGCAGAUGUCACAAAGUGCUUAUACAGAAACACAGCCUAAAACCCCAAACAGC
This 2227-nucleotide long non-coding RNA is filed under the name Salmo salar (Atlantic salmon). RNAcentral describes it as "lncRNA (ENSSSAG00000112920.1)". Lineage: Eukaryota; Metazoa; Chordata; Actinopteri; Salmoniformes; Salmonidae. The record is from RNAcentral.